This 600-nucleotide long non-coding RNA is filed under the name Nicotiana benthamiana. Its description in RNAcentral is "long non-coding RNA (NBEN_LNC010944)". The record is from RNAcentral. Lineage: Eukaryota; Viridiplantae; Streptophyta; Magnoliopsida; Solanales; Solanaceae.
GGAUGAAGUUGGAGGAGCUUUCAUAGUAGGUGGCAAUCCAUUGGUCGGAUUGACAGGUUGAAGGACAACAGGAACAACUGCACCGCGGACUCCCACUGAAGGGACAGACGGAGCUGUUGUUGGAGGUAAUACAGUCAGCUGAGCGCUCUUUAAAGACCGAUCAUGGCCAUGUACCUGGACUUGGUUUCGAACGGGUAGAUGAAUUUCAUUCCUCUUAAUCAUCUGAACAUGUGGUGCUACGUCAUUUUCUGCCGUGACAGGAUCAAAAUGCCCUGGCCUAAAGACAACACCCCUGAAAUUUGUAUUGGAGUCGCCAAUCCGGACACUGAGCAAAUAACCAGCAUCAAAUGCAGCUUCAACGACACCUGUAACAGCCCGACCUAUCAUCCCAUCAUUUGCAACAUUAACUGUAUCUACUUGCAGGGGUUUGUUCGCCGCGGGCUCCCACUGAAGGGACAGAAGGAGCUGUUGUUGGAGGUAAUACAGUCAACUGACCGCUCUUUAAAGACUGAUCAUGGCCAUGUACCUGAACUUGGUUUCUAAUGGGUAGAUGAAUUUCAUUCCUCUUAAUCAUCUGAACAUGUGGUGCUACGUCAUUUU